AUUGGUUUUUGCAAAUAAUAGUCAAGCUAAUUCUUCCACUAAACAUGAAUUAGAAAGAGGCUUGGACGGCUGGCGGGCCUGUCCCAACAUCAAAACAGGAGGCUCAUGGUUGACUGUAAAAAUGUUUUGUGAUCAGUACUAUCAACCAAAAAAAUAUCAGCACAAGAGCACUUAAAAUCUGCCCAAAACAAAACAGGUGUAAAAACAGGACAGGUUUUUUUUUUGAUUAUUUAGCACAUUUUGUUACAAACACAGGAUUAUGAUAAUAUAAAGUCAGCAUCAUAUUGAACAAUAUUCCCAAUGAAAAUAAACAAACCUCAAGCUUCAAGUGCGACCUUUUACAAAUCAGAGACCCUCUGAAACUUGAGGGAGAAAAUAAAUAAUAUAUAAUAGUAAUAUAAAUUUAUAUAUAUGAAGGUAUACACACAUCACUCUUAGUAGAAGAACAAAAUCUAAAGUAAAAAGCGCCAAUUUUGAAAUAUAGUAUAAUAUAGAUAUACCCAUAUCUAUGGCUUCAUGAUUUGCACGUGUGAAUCAAGCUAUACAGGCUAAAUGAGGAUUGCAAUUUGUACAUGUCUAAGAAUACCCAUAUUCAUCUGCAAUAGAGCAAAAAAUUCCAGUUUUGCAUCGUGUGGAAUGAGACAGUUGUGUGCAGAUGCCGAAGAUGCCGCUUUGGUAUGACAAAAUGAACAUAGGCAUGCAGUUAAGACCACAGAAUCAGGGCACAAAAGGUCAUCAACACACAGUGGGAAGGAGAAUCUGGUCGCCCAUCAUGAUUUGUCUCUUUGAAGUUUUCAAAAUCCUCGAACGUUUCGGCCCUCUAAUCUGAUCGGUCGCAUCUCGAUAAUCUCUAUCCAUUGAGUUACAAAUAUUCAGUCGUCUCUUGGAAACAAACACUCUUGCAAGCACACAGGUGAAAUGUCAUUGAGGCACAUAUUGAGGGGUUGAUGGCAGACGUUUUCCUGAAGUACAACCCAGAAUGAGGAAGAAGACGUACAGUACAGAUCGUGAGAAGAGCGCGGGGGCCGGGGGAGUCACACAUACAUCCAGAUGCCUCUCAGGGGCCAAAACAGCACCACAGGACAGAGAUUUGCCACCGAUUAUGGGCUCCUUCCACACCCACCAUUGACAUUCAUAAACAUAUUCUACCCCAUUGUCUUUCUUCUUUUUUUUUCACCCCAGAAAAGUACAACUGUUUGAUAAGUGGGUCAAACAAAAGCACAAUAAAUAAUGCAAAUAAAAUAAAGAUAUCUGUCAGACAUAAAGAAAGCAUCACAAAUCUCACUGUACUGAGAGUCUCUCAGCAGGGGCUGAUGGGAAGUGCAGUCCAUGGCACCUACAGAAGAGGCCAAAUGUGUGCGACCAGCACUGGCAACAAAAUGUUUCCCAGAGUUACUACUGCAGCACUCUUUCCCUUUAUGUAAAUGAACUGGGGUCAAGCCAGGAAAGC
This is a long non-coding RNA of Astatotilapia calliptera (eastern happy), 1450 nucleotides long. The record is from Ensembl. NCBI's taxonomy places the organism in Eukaryota, Metazoa, Chordata, Actinopteri, Cichliformes, Cichlidae.